UAGCUUUUUAUUUUCUCACCUUAUUUUUCAUCAAGUCAGAAAUUAAUCUAUUAUAACUUUAAAGUUUGUUGCUGAUGGAUAAAUUGGGUUAUGUCUUGUGUGUAGGACGAUAAUAUUAUUGGAAUGAUCCAUUUAGAUCAGAGGACUUGUCCUCAAGUGCAAUAUAAAGCUUUUCUUUAAAUUUUUGUUACAAUCUUAAAUUCUGCAAUUGCUUGGCAUGAGAAUAGAAGGAAGUGGAUCGGUGAUAAGUCUCAAAAUCAACCAAGAAUAGCUAAGGAACCCGUUAUUAGAUAUAUUUUUUUCAAAGGUUGUGGGUGUUUGAUAAUUUUGUUGGCAACUUGGCAUCUUUUGAUAUUUUGUGGUUCUUGUUUUAGAGAGAUUUUUCGGUGAUAUCCUCUUGAUGUUUUGAGAAUAAUUAAAUGUUAUAUAGAUUAGCUAUUGUUAUUAGAUUUAUAAAGAAUCAAAUUCUAGUUGUAAUGAACCUAUACACUUUAAAAUGA
Arachis ipaensis is the source of this 500-nucleotide non-coding RNA. The record is from RefSeq and is a predicted model, not a curated record. Lineage: Eukaryota; Viridiplantae; Streptophyta; Magnoliopsida; Fabales; Fabaceae.